Molecule: ribosomal RNA, 634 nt
Filed under: Papiliotrema flavescens
Lineage: Eukaryota; Fungi; Basidiomycota; Tremellomycetes; Tremellales; Rhynchogastremaceae
Description: LSU rRNA
Rfam family: Eukaryotic large subunit ribosomal RNA
Source: RNAcentral
CAAUAAGCGGAGGAAAAGAAACUAACAAGGAUUCCCCUAGUAACGGCGAGUGAACCGGGAAGAGCUCAAAUUUGAAAUCUGGCGUGCUCAGUGCGUCCGAGUUGUAAUCUAUAGAGUCGUUUUCCGUGCCGGACUGUGUCCAAGUCCCUUGGAACAGGGUAUCAAAGAGGGUGAUAAUCCCGUACUUGACACAAUGACCGGUGCUCUGUGAUACGUCUUCUACGAGUCGAGUUGUUUGGGAAUGCAGCUCAAAAUGGGUGGUGAGUUCCAUCUAAAGCUAAAUAUUGGCGAGAGACCGAUAGCGAACAAGUACCGUGAGGGAAAGAUGAAAAGCACUUUGGAAAGAGAGUUAAACAGUACGUGAAAUUGUUAAAAGGGAAACGAUUGAAGUCAGUCGUGACUGAGAGGCUCAGCCGGUUCUGCCGGUGUAUUCCCCUCAGUCGGGUCAACAUCAGUUUUGUUCGGUGGAUAAGGGCAGUUGGAAGGUGGCACCCUCGGGUGUGUUAUAGCCAGCUGUCGCAUACAUCGGAUGAGACUGAGGAAUGCAGCUCGCCUUUAUGGCCGGGGUUCGCCCACGUUCGAGCUUAGGAUGUUGACAUAAUGGCUUUAAACGACCCGUCUUGAAACACGGACC